CCUACGGGGGGCAGCAGUGGGGAAUAUUGGACAAUGGGCGAAAGCCUGAUCCAGCCAUGCCGCGUGUGUGAAGAAGGCCUUCGGGUUGUAAAGCACUUUCAGUGGGGAAGAAAGCCUUGGGGCUAAUACCCUCGAGGAAGGACAUCACCCACAGAAGAAGCACCGGCUAACUCCGUGCCAGCAGCCGCGGUAAUACGGAGGGUGCGAGCGUUAAUCGGAAUUACUGGGCGGAAAGCGCGCGUAGGCGGUCUGAUAAGCCGGUUGUGAAAGCCCCGGGCUCAACCUGGGAACGGCAUCCGGAACUGUCAGGCUAGAGUGCAGGAGAGGAGGGUAGAAUUCCCGGUGUAGCGGUGAAAUGCGUAGAGAUCGGGAGGAAUACCAGUGGCGAAGGCGGCCUUCUGGACUGACACUGACGCUGAGGUGCGAAAGCGUGGGUAGCAAACAGGAUUAGAUACCCUAGUAGUC
This 465-nucleotide ribosomal RNA is filed under the name Vreelandella stevensii. RNAcentral's name for it is "partial 16S ribosomal RNA". It matches the Rfam family "Bacterial small subunit ribosomal RNA", at positions 338 to 795 of the family's 1533-position model. Lineage: Bacteria; Pseudomonadati; Pseudomonadota; Gammaproteobacteria; Oceanospirillales; Halomonadaceae. The record is from RNAcentral.